RNAcentral lists this ribosomal RNA (253 nucleotides) under uncultured bacterium. Its description in RNAcentral is "partial 16S ribosomal RNA". It matches the Rfam family "Bacterial small subunit ribosomal RNA", at positions 524 to 776 of the family's 1533-position model. The record is from RNAcentral.
UACGGAGGGUGCGAGCGUUGUCCUGAUUUAUUGGGUUUAAAGGGUCCGUAGGCGGCCCAGUAAGUCAGUGGUGAAAUCUCCCCGCUCAACGGGGAAACGGCCAUUGAUACUGCUGGGCUUGAAUUAUUAGGAAGUAACUAGAAUAUGUAGUGUAGCGGUGAAAUGCUUAGAUAUUACAUGGAAUACCAAUUGCGAAGGCAGGUUACUACUAAUGGAUUGACGCUGAUGGACGAAAGCGUGGGGAGCGAACAGG